RNAcentral lists this ribosomal RNA (481 nucleotides) under uncultured bacterium. Its description in RNAcentral is "bacterial SSU rRNA". It matches the Rfam family "Bacterial small subunit ribosomal RNA", at positions 30 to 507 of the family's 1533-position model. The record is from RNAcentral.
AUUGAACGCUGGCGGCAUGCCUUACACAUGCAAGUCGAACGGCAGCGGACCUUCGGGUGCCGGCGAGUGGCGAACGGGUGAGUAAUAUAUCGGAACGUACCUUUCAGUGGGGAUAACGUAGCGAAAGUUACGCUAAUACCGCAUAUUCUGUGAGCAGGAAAGCAGGGGAUCGCAAGACCUUGCGCUGAUUGAGCGGCCGAUAUCAGAUUAGCUAGUUGGUGAGGUAAAGGCUCACCAAGGCGACGAUCUGUAGCGGGUCUGAGAGGAUGAUCCGCCACACUGGAACUGAGACACGGUCCAGACUCCUACGGGAGGCAGCAGUGGGGAAUUUUGGACAAUGGGCGCAAGCCUGAUCCAGCCAUGCCGCGUGAGUGAAGAAGGCCUUCGGGUUGUAAAGCUCUUUCGGCCGGGAAGAAAUCGCACGGGUUAAUACCCUGUGUGGAUGACGGUACCGGAAUAAGAAGCACCGGCUAACUACGUG